UUCUUUAACAAAUAUGAUGAUAGAACGAUACAAUUAAUUUCUAGAUCUUGCAUGAUGUGUAGAAUUUUAUUUUAUAUGUAUCUAGAAUUUUCAUUGAUUUUUGGGUCAACAAUUUUGACAAUUUGAGUAUCCUUGAAAUUGAUUUUUCAAAAUUUAUUUAUGAAAUUUUAUUUGAAGUUUUUGGGGAUGGAAAUUGGUUAUUUUUGUUGAUUGAACAUUGUGGAAUAACAUAUAUUUUUUCUGGAAUUUUUUGGAGCUUAAUUUAAAAUUUUUUAAAAUUCUAGGCUCUGGGACCGGUCCCAGGCAGGAGAGACCGGUC
RNAcentral lists this long non-coding RNA (319 nucleotides) under Ananas comosus (pineapple). RNAcentral describes it as "long non-coding RNA (ACOM_LNC044755)". The record is from RNAcentral. Lineage: Eukaryota; Viridiplantae; Streptophyta; Magnoliopsida; Poales; Bromeliaceae.